Molecule: ribosomal RNA, 1283 nt
Filed under: Salmonella enterica subsp. enterica serovar Kentucky
Lineage: Bacteria; Pseudomonadati; Pseudomonadota; Gammaproteobacteria; Enterobacterales; Enterobacteriaceae
Description: partial 23S ribosomal RNA
Rfam family: Bacterial large subunit ribosomal RNA
Source: RNAcentral
AAACUGCGAAUACCGGAGAAUGUUAUCACGGGAGACACACGGCGGGUGCUAACGUCCGUCGUGAAGAGGGAAACAACCCAGACCGCCAGCUAAGGUCCCAAAGUCAUGGUUAAGUGGGAAACGAUGUGGGAAGGCCCAGACAGCCAGGAUGUUGGCUUAGAAGCAGCCAUCAUUUAAAGAAAGCGUAAUAGCUCACUGGUCGAGUCGGCCUGCGCGGAAGAUGUAACGGGGCUAAACCAUGCACCGAAGCUGCGGCAGCGACGCUGAUGCGUUGUUGGGUAGGGGAGCGUUCUGUAAGCCUGUGAAGGUGGCCUGUGAGGGUUGCUGGAGGUAUCAGAAGUGCGAAUGCUGACAUAAGUAACGAUAAAGCGGGUGAAAAGCCCGCUCGCCGGAAGACCAAGGGUUCCUGUCCAACGUUAAUCGGGGCAGGGUGAGUCGACCCCUAAGGCGAGGCCGAAAGGCGUAGUCGAUGGGAAACGGGUUAAUAUUCCCGUACUUGGUGUUACUGCGAAGGGGGGACGGAGAAGGCUAUGUUGGCCGGGCGACGGUUGUCCCGGUUUAAGCGUGUAGGUGUGUGUUCCAGGUAAAUCCGGUUCACUUUAACACUGAGGCGUGAUGACGAGGCACUACGGUGCUGAAGCAACAAAUGCCCUGCUUCCAGGAAAAGCCUCUAAGCAUCAGGUAACAUCAAAUCGUACCCCAAACCGACACAGGUGGUCAGGUAGAGAAUACCAAGGCGCUUGAGAGAACUCGGGUGAAGGAACUAGGCAAAAUGGUGCCGUAACUUCGGGAGAAGGCACGCUGACACGUAGGUGAAGUGAUUUACUCACGGAGCUGAAGUCAGUCGAAGAUACCAGCUGGCUGCAACUGUUUAUUAAAAACACAGCACUGUGCAAACACGAAAGUGGACGUAUACGGUGUGACGCCUGCCCGGUGCCGGAAGGUUAAUUGAUGGGGUCAGCGCAAGCGAAGCUCCUGAUCGAAGCCCCGGUAAACGGCGGCCGUAACUAUAACGGUCCUAAGGUAGCGAAAUUCCUUGUCGGGUAAGUUCCGACCUGCACGAAUGGCGUAAUGAUGGCCAGGCUGUCUCCACCCGAGACUCAGUGAAAUUGAACUCGCUGUGAAGAUGCAGUGUACCCGCGGCAAGACGGAAAGACCCCGUGAACCUUUACUAUAGCUUGACACUGAACAUUGAGCCUUGAUGUGUAGGAUAGGUGGGAGGCUUUGAAGUGUGGACGCCAGUCUGCAUGGAGCCGACCUUGAAAUACCACCCUUUAAUGUUU